RNAcentral lists this ribosomal RNA (3198 nucleotides) under Triticum aestivum (bread wheat). RNAcentral's name for it is "partial small subunit ribosomal RNA". Lineage: Eukaryota; Viridiplantae; Streptophyta; Magnoliopsida; Poales; Poaceae. The record is from RNAcentral.
AUGCCGGGGGGCGGGAUCGGCGCGGGCCUCGACUUCGACCUCCCGGCGGUGAUCCAGGCGGCGCUCGUCGGCUUCGUGCUCCUCGCCGCCGCCGCUGCCGCCCUCCGCCGCGCCGCCUCGCGCUACUUCCUCGUCGACGCCGCGGGCUUCGCCGCCGCCUACGAGGACCACCACCCCGCCUACGCGAUGCCGCCCCAGGGGGAUCAGCAGCCGCCCCCCUCCUCGCCGCAGGGGCAGGGGCAAGGGCAGCUGCAGGCCGCCGCGCCCGAGCUCGGGCCCUGCGCCCACUGCGGCGCCGCCGGCACCAAGAAGUGCUCCGGCUGCAAGCGCAUGCGAUACUGUUCUGGAGAAUGUCAGUCAAAGCAUUGGCAAUCUGAUCACAAAUUCAAGUGCAAACAAAUGAAAUUAUUGGAUCCUAUUGACAAGUUACCCUGUGGAGUUGAGGCCAGUAAGAAGUCACCUGUCUCUGGCCAUCGUGGUAUCUCAUUAGUGCCUGGCCAUCGAAAAUUAAACAAGGUCAUCUAUCCUUAUGAUGAUUUUUUAAAGCUGUACAAUUGGAAGUGCAAUGAUUCGAAAUACAGCGAUUUUUUAACUUGUGGGCUUGUGAACUGUGGCAACAGUUGCUUUGCCAAUGUGGUUUUACAAUGUCUGUCAUACACGAGGCCACUUGUGGCCUAUCUGUUAGGAAAGGACCAUUAUAGGCAAUGUGCUAUAAGACAUGAAGAUUGGUGUUUCUUAUGUGAGCUGCAAUCUCAUAUUCAAAGAGCGUUUGAUAGCGUACACCCAUUUGCUCCCACGAACAUUCUUUCUCAUUUACCAAAUAUUGGUGGCAACCUUGGCUUUGGUAGGCAGGAAGAUGCUCAUGAAUUUAUGAGGUUUGCAAUAGAUAAGAUGCAAUCAGCUUGCCUUGACGAAUUUGGAGGUGAGAAGGUCGUGGAUCAUAGCACCCAGGAGACAACUGUUAUUCAGCACAUAUUUGGCGGUCGUCUGCAAUCUCAGGUUCAGUGUACUGCAUGUGGUAUGGUCUCAAAUCGCUAUGAGAAUAUGAUGGACUUGACAGUUGAAAUUCAUGGUGAUGCUGAAUCCUUGGAAAAAUGCUUGGAUCAGUUCACUGCUAUAGAGUGGCUUGAUGGGGACAAUAAGUACAAAUGUGAUGGAUGUAACGACUAUGUUAAAGCACGGAAACAUCUCACAGUUCAUCAAGCUCCAAAUAUACUCACUAUUACUCUCAAAAGAUUCCAGAGUGGUAGAUUUGGAAAACUGAACAAGAAAGUCACAUUCCCUACGAAGUUAGAUUUAACUCCAUACAUGAGCACCACUGAUGGAACUGACCAGUAUGAUCUAUAUGCUGUCGUUGUUCAUCUGGAUAUGCUGAAUGCUUCGUUUUUUGGGCAUUAUAUAUGCUACAUAAAACAUUAUCGAGGACGUUGGCUUAAAUUGGAUGACUGCAAGGGGAUGGCUGUUGACGAGGAGGAAGUACAUGCUCAAGGUGCCUAUAUGCUUCUAUAUAGCAGGAGAACAGCUCGUCCUGUACCACUUCUUCCAGUCAAAGAACCAAUAAAACAUGAGAAACAGUGCAAAGUGCCUCCUUUAAAUGGACAAAAUCAUUUGAUACCUGAGGAUAUGUCAUUAAAAUGUGAAUCAUUUUCAAAGUCUUCAGAAGAUCUACGAGAGGAUUCUGAAUCCAGCAAUGACUCUCUGCAUAGAAUGGAUACCGUCAACCAGGUAUCAGACCUGGAUUUGCAUAUGAACAUUGAGAGAGAUAAAUUCGUUGCCAAUGGAAGUAUACAUCAGCCAAUUUCAUCGGCAUUACAUGUCCUUGAAGAAGAUACUAGAGACUCAGGUUCUCUGUUAGAAGGCAAUAAUACCAUGAGAGCUGACCAAUUUGGCAAUUCUGCGUGUGAAUCCUCUUCAGUUAAUUCCUCUGAAGAGGAAUGCAAGGAACCUGCCCCAGGUAUUGAUUCAGUUGACUACAUGGAUAUUGAUAUGGAAGCUGGAACAGAAGUUGAAACACAGAAUGUGGAACAACAACCUAUCUUAGGUGAUUCAGUUGAAGUGAUAGGCAACAAAACAUCAGUCCCAACCUUUGAUAAUUGUAUGGCAGGAAAACCAAAACCACUCUUUUCUGUUGGUUUCCUUGACAAACCCUCAAGAAAGAAGUCUGACUCUAGGGAAGAGUGCCAAAAUGGUGGCAGCAUGGCAGUUUCCUCCCAAAAAAUAGAUGGUCAUUGUAAUGAACAUCUCAGCAGGCCAGAGCAAGGACUUAUUGCCUACUCCCGUGGCGUCAGCCCAUCCUCAGCAAAUGGAAGUGUACAUUGCAAUGGAGACGUGUUUGUGACUCCUAGCAACGGAGUUCUUGUCAAUGGUGAUACACAAUCUGACAAUUACUCCUUGAAUGCAGCAAAGAGGGAUGUACCUUCUGUUCAGGGAUUUAAUCCGAGGCCUUACAGAUCACCAUCAAGCAGCAACCCAAAUCGGAAUAAUACAAGCAAAGGUCUCUUCCCACGUGGUUUCCUUGCAAAGCCUCGUUCUGGAGAGAAAGCAGUCAAAGUUGAUGAUGGGUUGCCAUUUAGUAAUGGAAAUGGCAAAGCAUCAUCAUCAUCCUCUGUGAAUGGCAACGGCAUAUCGAAUACCAAUUCUUCACCUCGAAGCAGCACAGGUGGCAUGGGCAUGUCUCCUGGAUUUCUUGCGAAGCGUUCCAGGGAGUCUGCUGCUGCAAGCUUUAUGGGUGAUCCGCAGAGCAGUAACACUUCCAAGGAGCAAGAACAUGUUGGUGCUGCAGCACUACUACCUGACAAGAUACAAGAAAGGCGGAGUUCCUAUUGCACCACAAACGGCAUCAAGGCCCAACACGGAGCAGCUUCUGUUCAUGAUGUGAGUGGUCACAGUGAUGAAAACGGGCACGCAUUCGUGGGCACCAAGAACGGCAUCCAUGGUGAAGAAAAUGGUAGCAACGGAACCCUUGAUAUGCAUGACAGCAGUUGCCAAAUGGAUGAAAACGGACAUGGAGUUCUGGACAUCAAAGAUGUCAUCUUCAGAGAACAAAAUGUCAGCAAUGGAACUCUGGAUAUGCAUGGCAUGGGAUCCGAAGAUGCUGACCACGUCGUCAAGUCACCCGCCGCUCCUGCCCAUGAUGGUCUGCGACGAAGAUUAACCACCUCAAAAUAUUUUGAUGAGAGUAGCAUGGACGAGCAAUGA